This 505-nucleotide ribosomal RNA is filed under the name uncultured bacterium. RNAcentral's name for it is "bacterial SSU rRNA". It matches the Rfam family "Bacterial small subunit ribosomal RNA", at positions 8 to 507 of the family's 1533-position model. The record is from RNAcentral.
AGAGUUUGAUCCUGGCUCAGAUUAAACGCUGGCGGCAUGCCUUACACAUGCAAGUCGAACGGCAGCACGGGGGCAACCCUGGUGGCGAGUGGCGAACGGGUGAGUAACAUAUCGGAACAUACCCUAGAGUGGGGGAUAACGUAGCGAAAGUUACGCUAAUACCGCAUACGAUCUAAGGAUGAAAGUGGGGGGAUCUUCGGACCUCAUGCUCAUGGAGUGGCCGAUAUCUGAUUAGCUAGUUGGUGAGGUAAAGGCUCACCAAGGCGACGAUCAGUAGCUGGUUUGAGAGAACGACCAGCCACACUGGAACCGAGACACGGUCCGGACUCCUACGGGAGGCAGCAGUGGGGAAUUUUGGACAAUGGGGGCAACCCUGAUCCAGCAAUGCCGCGUGAGUGAAGAAGGCCUUCGGGUUGUAAAGCUCUUUUGUCAGGGAAGAAACGGUGAGUUCUAAUACAGCUUGCUAAUGACGGUACCUGAAGAAUAAGCACCGGCUAACUACGUG